This 773-nucleotide ribosomal RNA is filed under the name uncultured Neocallimastigales. RNAcentral's name for it is "partial large subunit ribosomal RNA". It matches the Rfam family "Eukaryotic large subunit ribosomal RNA", at positions 23 to 647 of the family's 3401-position model. Lineage: Eukaryota; Fungi; Neocallimastigomycota; Neocallimastigomycetes; Neocallimastigales. The record is from RNAcentral.
AGAGAGAGACAUGCGCGCAUAUCAAUAAGCGGAGGAAAAGAAACUAACAAGGAUUCCCCUAAUAACGGCGAGUGAAGCGGGAAGAGCUCAAAUUUGAAAUCUUAAAGGGUUUCCCUUUACGAAUUGUAGUUUAAAGAAGUGUAUUCUGUUGAGGUUUUGGUAAAAGUUCUUUGGAAUAGGACAUCAUAGAGGGUGAGAAUCCCGUAUUUGACCUUUACUUUCAACUUUGUGAUACACUUUCAAAGAGUCGGAUUGUUUGGGAAUGCAGUCCAAAAUGGGUGGUAAAUUUCAUCUAAAGCUAAAUAUUGGCGAGAGACCGAUAGCGAACAAGUACCGUGAGGGAAAGAUGAAAAGAGCUUUGAAAAGAGAGUUAAACAGUACGUGAAAUUGUCAAAAGGGAAGCGUUUGACACCAGUGUUGUUUUUCUGAAAAUCAAUUAAAGAACUGUUUAUGCUAAGUUGUUUAGACUUUAUCAGCUAACUGUUUAGUUUUGAGCUUUUCUUUAAUGCACUUUUCAGUUAACAAGUCAACAUCAAUUUCUUUUGCUGUAAAAAAGCUUGAGGAAGGUGGCUUGAGAUUCGUCUUAAGUGUUUAUAGCCUCUUGCCUAUGCAGUCGGAGAGAUUGAGGUCUGCAGCGUAGAUCCUUCGGGGCUAAUGCAUUUGUGCUAAGUUAUAGCAUUUUAUAGACAACUUGUCGACUAUGAUUUGUCUUGUAGCUUACUCGCUUAUGUUAUUUUACCUACGCUUAGGAUGUUGACGCAUGAGAUAUACGC